RNAcentral lists this long non-coding RNA (450 nucleotides) under Fukomys damarensis (Damara mole-rat). RNAcentral's name for it is "lncRNA (ENSFDAG00000030494.1)". Lineage: Eukaryota; Metazoa; Chordata; Mammalia; Rodentia; Bathyergidae. The record is from RNAcentral.
GCCACAGUGAAAAAGAAAAAAGAGAAAAACGGGUAGUGAAUUUCUGUUUUGGGGUGGAGCCGGGUCACAUGAAGCACGUGGCCCUGGGGGACUGGAGGGAGACAGACGCUUGCAUUAAAUGCCGAGCUGGGGGCAGGGCCGCCACACAGGCAGCUGGUCGUGCUUUUCCUGCCCAGACCUGGCUGGACCGGAGCCCACAGGGGAACCCUACCUGCCUCGCUUAGAGCGCACUUUCCAGCUUGUGGCUGUCAUUCCCACCUACGGGGCCUCUUCUUGACGGACGUCCCUGCUUGUGAUGACCUCUAUCUCCAGAUGCCUGUGUUCUGUCACCAGAUGUCUCAAGCAUACCCAGCUCUCCUUUUCCUAUGAGUAUAAAUCAAUAAAUACAGGAUAUACUCAGUGCCUUUAGUCUUUGCUGCCCAGAGCAUCUUAGACUAACCAAGACCCAGC